GGGGGUGCACUGGCUUCGACGGGGGUUGCAAAGUUACCUGGUGCAUGCCGAGGGGGCAGCUUUCCUCGUAAAUCCAGCGGCAAAACUCUAGUUGCCAACGACGACAACUACGCUCUCGCCGCUUAAGGCGUAAGCCCCGAACCCACUUGUGUCCGUGCUCGUGGAUGUAGGGUCAUCAUCACGGAACAGGCAUUGGCGGCGACCCGCCAACCGAUGCUUAAAUAAAGCGGGUGUGUCCGCCGGUGUGCUUCGCACGUCGUGUUGCCGUCGGCCGAGAACGAACGUCGUGCUAAGCAUGUAGUACCGGAGAUCGCGCGCUUUCGGUCGGGGG
Molecule: transfer-messenger RNA, 331 nt
Filed under: Pseudoxanthomonas mexicana
Lineage: Bacteria; Pseudomonadati; Pseudomonadota; Gammaproteobacteria; Lysobacterales; Lysobacteraceae
Description: partial transfer-messenger RNA
Rfam family: transfer-messenger RNA
About the family: Bacterial tmRNA, also known as 10Sa RNA or SsrA, is named for its dual tRNA and mRNA-like properties. Its role is to liberate the mRNA from a stalled ribosome.
Source: RNAcentral